UGGGGAAUUUUGGACAAUGGGCGCAAGCCUGAUCCAGCCAUGCCGCGUGUGGGAAGAAGGCCUUCGGGUUGUAAACCACUUUUGUCAGGGAAGAAACGGUUUGACUUAAUACGUUGAACUAAUGACGGUACCUGAAGAAUAAGCACCGGCUAACUACGUGCCAGCAGCCGCGGUAAUACGUAGGGUGCAAGCGUUAAUCGGAAUUACUGGGCGUAAAGCGUGCGCAGGCGGCUUUGCAAGACAGAUGUGA
Molecule: ribosomal RNA, 250 nt
Filed under: uncultured bacterium
Lineage: Bacteria
Description: partial 16S ribosomal RNA
Rfam family: Bacterial small subunit ribosomal RNA
Source: RNAcentral